Molecule: ribosomal RNA, 407 nt
Filed under: uncultured bacterium
Lineage: Bacteria
Description: partial 16S ribosomal RNA
Rfam family: Bacterial small subunit ribosomal RNA
Source: RNAcentral
AUUGAACGCUGGCGGCAGGCCUAACACAUGCAAGUCGAGCGGAGCGGCGGACGGGUGAGUAAUGCCUAGGAAUCUGCCUGGCAGUGGGGGACAACGUCCGGAAACGGGCGCUAAUACCGCAUACUAUCAGAUCAGCCUAGGUCGGAUUAGCUAGCUGGUGGGUUAAUGACCUACCAAGGCGACGAUCCGUAACUGGUCUGAGCGGAUGAUCAGUCACACUGGAACUGAGACACGGUCCAGACUCCUACGGGAGGCAGCAGUGGGGAAUAUUGGACAAUGGGCGAAAGCCUGAUCCAGCCAUGCCGCGUGUGUGAAGAAGGUCUUCGGAUUGUAAAGCACUUUAAGUUGGGAAGCGUUACCAACAGAAUAAGCACCGGCUAACUUCGUGCCAGCCGCCGCGGUAAUUC